AAGUCGUAACAAGGUUUCCGUAGGUGAACCUGCGGAAGGAUCAUUAUUGAAUACGAUUGGUGCUGAUGCUGGCUCUUUACUGAGCAUGUGCUCGUCCAUUCUAUUUAUCUUCUCUUGUGCACAUUUUGUGGCUUUGGUCUGAUAUCUAUCGUCUUCGGACGGAUUGGAGGUCUUGUGGAGACACUACCUCUGCUUUCAACCAAAGUCAUGUUUUCAUAUACCCUUAUAAAGUUACAGAAUGUCUAUUAUUGAUUGCGCUUGUCGUAGUCUUUAAACCUAUACAACUUUCAGCAACGGAUCUCUUGGCUCUC
This 311-nucleotide unclassified non-coding RNA is filed under the name air metagenome. RNAcentral describes it as "partial contains small subunit ribosomal RNA, internal transcribed spacer 1, and 5.8S ribosomal RNA". The stretch from base 1 to 46 matches the Rfam family "Eukaryotic small subunit ribosomal RNA", at positions 1786 to 1831 of the family's 1831-position model. The record is from RNAcentral.